GCCUGGGGAGUACGACCGCAAGGUUGAAACUCAAAGGAAUUGACGGGGGCCCGCACAAGCGGUGGAGUAUGUGGUUUAAUUCGACGCAACGCGAAGAACCUUACCAGGUCUUGACAUUGAUGGACAGAACCAGAGAUGGUUCCUCUUCUUCGGAAGCCAGAAAACAGGUGGUGCACGGUUGUCGUCAGCUCGUGUCGUGAGAUGUUGGGUUAAGUCCCGCAACGAGCGCAACCCCUAUCUUAUGUUGCCAGCACUUUGGGUGGGAACUCAUGAGAGACUGCCGCAGACAAUGCGGAGGAAGGCGGGGAUGACGUCAAAUCAUCACGCCCCUUAUGACCUGGGCUACACACGUACUACAAUGGGAGUUAAUAGACGGAAGCGAGAUCGCGAGAUGGAGCAAACCCGAGAAACACUCUCUCAGUUCGGAUCGUAGGCUGCAACUCGCCUACGUGAAGUCGGAAUCGCUAGUAAUCGCAGGUCAGCAUACUGCGGUGAAUACGUUCCCGGGCCUUGUNC
RNAcentral lists this ribosomal RNA (516 nucleotides) under uncultured bacterium. Its description in RNAcentral is "bacterial SSU rRNA". It matches the Rfam family "Bacterial small subunit ribosomal RNA", at positions 871 to 1386 of the family's 1533-position model. The record is from RNAcentral.